UGGAUCCAGACUUUGAUUAUGGCUCAGGACGAACGCUGGCGGCGUGCCUAACACAUGCAAGUCGAACGAAGCUUGAUUUAUGAUUUCUUCGGAAUGAAUAAUGAUAUGACUGUGUGGCGGACGGGUGAGUAACGCGUGAGCAACCUGCCCUUCGGAACGGGAUAGCGUCUGGAAACGGACGGUAAUACCGUAUAACGUAUUUUUACCGCAUGAUAGAAAUACCAAAACUGAGGUGCCGAAGGAUGGGCUCGCGUCUGAUUAGAUAGUUGGUGGGGUAACGGCCUACCAAGUCGACGAUCAGUAGCUGGACUGAGAGGUUGAACGGCCACAUUGGGACUGAGACACGGCCCAGACUCCUACGGGAGGCAGCAGUGGGGAAUAUUGCACAAUGGGGGAAACCCUGAUGCAGCAACGCCGCGUGAAGGAAGACGGUUUUCGGAUUGUAAACUUCUGUUCUUAGUGAAGAUAAUGACGGUAGCUAAGGAGCAAGCCACGGCUAACUACGUGCCAGCAGCCGCGGUAAUACGUAGGUGGCAAGCGUUGUCCGGAAUUACUGGGUGUAAAGGGAGCGUAGGCGGGAAGCCAAGUCAGCUGUGAAAACUACGGGCUUAACCUGUAGACUGCAGUUGAAACUGGUUUUCUUGAGUGAAGUAGAGGUUGGCGGAAUUCCGAGUGUAGCGGUGAAAUGCGUAGAUAUUCGGAGGAACACCGGUGGCGAAGGCGGCCAACUGGGCUUUAACUGACGCUGAGGCUCGAAAGUGUGGGGAGCAAACAGGAUUAGAUACCCUGGUAGUCCACACUGUAAACGAUGAUAACUAGGUGUGGGGGGUCUGACCCCUUCCGUGCCGCAGCUAACGCAAUAAGUUAUCCACCUGGGGAGUACGACCGCAAGGUUGCAACUCAAAUGAAUUGACGGA
RNAcentral lists this ribosomal RNA (917 nucleotides) under uncultured Bacillota bacterium. RNAcentral's name for it is "bacterial SSU rRNA". It matches the Rfam family "Bacterial small subunit ribosomal RNA", at positions 1 to 917 of the family's 1533-position model. Lineage: Bacteria; Bacillati; Bacillota. The record is from RNAcentral.